GACGAACGCUGGUGGCGUGCUUAACACAUGCAAGUCGAACGGAAAGGCCUCUUUCGGGGGGUACUCGAGUGGCGAACGGGUGAGUAACACGUGAGUAACCUGCCCUUGACUUUGGGAUAACUUCAGGAAACUGGGGCUAAUACCGGAUAGGAGCUCCUGCUGCAUGGUGGGGGUUGGAAAGUUUCGGCGGUUGGGGAUGGACUCGCGGCUUAUCAGCUUGUUGGUGGGGUAGUGGCUUACCAAGGCUUUGACGGGUAGCCGGCCUGAGAGGGUGACCGGCCACAUUGGGACUGAGAUACGGCCCAGACUCCAACGGGAGGCAGCAGUGGGGAAUAUUGCACAAUGGGUGGAAGCCUGAUGCAGCAACGCCGUGUGCGGGAUGACGGCCUUCGGGUUGUAAACCGCUUUCGCUCAUGACGAAGCUUUGUGUGACGGUAGUGGGUAAAGAAGCACCGGCUAACUACGUG
RNAcentral lists this ribosomal RNA (467 nucleotides) under uncultured bacterium. RNAcentral describes it as "partial 16S ribosomal RNA". It matches the Rfam family "Bacterial small subunit ribosomal RNA", at positions 28 to 507 of the family's 1533-position model. The record is from RNAcentral.